Molecule: long non-coding RNA, 1123 nt
Filed under: Homo sapiens (human)
Lineage: Eukaryota; Metazoa; Chordata; Mammalia; Primates; Hominidae
Description: HSALNT0280040
Source: RNAcentral
UCAUGAACUACCUUGUCACCUACUCCACAAUUAGGAUUUGUUACUUGAUCUCCAUGUGUAUAUGCAAAUAUUUGCCUGUAUUUAUUGUCAUCAUCAUACUUUGGGCACUGGCCAUGCUACCUCUGUGAGGAAAGAAGGGAAAGGAAAGGAAAAAUAAGAAAAGAAGAAAACAUCCAUACAGGGUCUCACUCUGUCACCAGGCUGGAAUGACAGACUGAUAGGCAGACUCACAUAGCCUUCUUGCCUUUCCCUGAGGAGUUGACUCCAAUUGUCCUACACAUUCCUUCUCUAUGAUAUAGAAGCCCUGGGUCUCAGCGGUAAUGGCCUGGGAUUCACCAUCUCCUCUUGUGGCCACCUGAGACAUGGCUUCUGUUCCUAAGCCCCUAUUAAAUGUUCCUUUCAGAGAAAAUGGAUAUGUCAGCCUCUUUCUUCCGCCUCUCAGCUCCCUCAGACUUGUAGGUAGGUUUUCAUGUUCUGCUCACUGCAGAACAAGGGGGACACAGACAUUCAGUCUGUAACAACCAAUAAAGAUGUCUGGAUACUUACAUGACAUUAGCCAUGUAUAUAUCCUGGCAACAUGAUAUCCAUAAAAGCCUGCCUGACUCCGGUUUUAAUGAGGAAGCCUCGUCUAGGUCAGUAGGUAUAGUGGAGACUCUUAGGAUGGCCCUAGUGAUCUCUGCUCCUGGUGCUCACACCCUGUGGAAUCCCCUCUCCCAGGAGUGUGGAUGGAACCUGUGACUUGUGUCUAACCAAUAGAAUAUGGCAAGGUUGGUGUUUGUCAUUGCCAUGGUUGCAUUACACUGGACUCUGACCUCCACCUUGGGAAGAGAUUCUCCCACCUGCUGGCUUUGAUAAAGUGAGUAGCCAUGCUGGGGGGCUUGGGUGGCCAGAAGCUAGGGGCAGCCCAUAGGAGUUGAGAGUGGUUUCUGGCCAACAGCUGACAAGAAAAGGAAGCCCUCAGUACUAUACCCACAAGGAACUGAAUUCUUCCAACCACCAUGUGAUCUUGGAAGCAGAUCCUUCCCCAGUUGAACAUUAGUUGAGACCCUAGCUCUGGCUGACUCCUUAAUUGCAGCCUUCUGAGAAAGCUGGAAAAGAGGACCCAGCUAACUGUGCCCAGGCU